Molecule: unclassified non-coding RNA, 343 nt
Organism: Gorilla gorilla gorilla (western lowland gorilla)
Lineage: Eukaryota; Metazoa; Chordata; Mammalia; Primates; Hominidae
Gene: 7SK
Rfam family: 7SK RNA
About the family: 7SK was discovered as an abundant small nuclear RNA in the mid-70s but a possible function has only recently been suggested.
Source: Ensembl
GGAGGUGAGGGCGAUCUGGCUGCGACAUCUGUCACCCCAUUGAUCGCCAGGGUUGAUUUGGCUGAUCUGGCUGGCUAGGCGGGUGUCCCCUUCCUCCCUCACCGCUCCAUGUGCAUCCCUCCCGAAGCUGCGCGCUCGGUCGAAGAGGACGACCAUCCCCGAUAGAGGAGGACCGGUCUUCGGUCAAGGGUAUACGAGUAGCUGCGCUCCCCUGCUAGAACCUCCAAACAAGCUCUCAAAAGAAGACCUACAAACAGCCAACAAAUGUGAGAAAAAGCUCAACAUCACAAAUCAUCAGAGAGAUGCAAAUCAAAACCACAGUGAGAUACCAUCUCUCACCUGU